This 253-nucleotide ribosomal RNA is filed under the name uncultured bacterium. RNAcentral's name for it is "partial 16S ribosomal RNA". It matches the Rfam family "Bacterial small subunit ribosomal RNA", at positions 524 to 776 of the family's 1533-position model. The record is from RNAcentral.
UACGUAGGGUGCAAGCGUUAAUCGGAAUUACUGGGCGUAAAGCGUGCGCAGGCGGUUCUAUAAGACAGAUGUGAAAUCCCCGGGCUCAACCUGGGAACUGCAUUUGUGACUGUAGAGCUGGAGUGUGGCAGAGGGGGAUGGAAUUCCGCGUGUAGCAGUGAAAUGCGUAGAUAUGCGGAGGAACACCGAUGGCGAAGGCAAUCCCCUGGGCCUGCACUGACGCUCAUGCACGAAAGCGUGGGGAGCAAACAGG